This 308-nucleotide ribosomal RNA is filed under the name uncultured Alkaliflexus sp. RNAcentral describes it as "bacterial SSU rRNA". It matches the Rfam family "Bacterial small subunit ribosomal RNA", at positions 1077 to 1382 of the family's 1533-position model. Lineage: Bacteria; Pseudomonadati; Bacteroidota; Bacteroidia; Marinilabiliales; Marinilabiliaceae. The record is from RNAcentral.
GGGUUAAGUCCCAUAACGAGCGCAACCCUUACUGUUAGUUGCCAGCCGGGGUAAAGUGCCGGGAACUCUAGCGGGACUGCCACCGUAAGGUGAGAGGAAGUGGGGAUGACGUCAAAUCAGCACGGCCCUUAUGUCCAGGGCUACACACGUGUUACAAUGGCCGGUACAAAGGGCAGCUACACCGCGAGGUGAUGCUAAUCUCGAAAGCCGGUCUCAGUUCGGAUUGAAGUCUGCAACUCGACUUCAUGAAGUUGGAAUCGCUAGUAAUCGCGGAUCAGCAUGCCGCGGUGAAUACGUUCCCGGGCCUU